Molecule: ribosomal RNA, 541 nt
Filed under: uncultured bacterium
Lineage: Bacteria
Description: bacterial SSU rRNA
Rfam family: Bacterial small subunit ribosomal RNA
Source: RNAcentral
GGAAUCUUGCACAAUGGAGGAAACUCUGAUGCAGCGAUGCCGCGUGAGUGAAGAAGGCCUUUGGGUUGUAAAGCUCUUUUGUAGGGGAAGAUAAUGACUGUACCCUAAGAAUAAGGUCCGGCUAACUUCGUGCCAGCAGCCGCGGUAAUACGAAGGGACCUAGCGUUGUUCGGAAUAACUGGGCGUAAAGAGUACGUAGGCGGUUAUUCAAGUCAGAGGUGAAAGCCUGGAGCUCAACUCCAGAACUGCCUUUGAAACUAGAUAGCUAGAAUCUUGGAGAGGUGAGUGGAAUUCCGAGUGUAGAGGUGAAAUUCGUAGAUAUUCGGAAGAACACCAGUGGCGAAGGCGACUCACUGGACAAGUAUUGACGCUGAGGUACGAAAGCGUGGGGAGCAAACAGGAUUAGAUACCCUGGUAGUCCACGCCGUAAACGAUGAUAACUAGCUGUUCGGGCUCUACGAGCUUGAGUGGCGCAGCUAACGCAUUAAGUGCCCCGCCUGGGGAGUACGAUCGCAAGAUUAAAACUCAAAUGAAUUGACGG